GACGAACGCUGGCGGCGUGCUUAACACAUGCAAGUCGAGCGGUAAGGCCCUUUCGGGGGUACGACGAGCGGCGAACGGGUGAGUAACACGUGGGUGACCUGCCCUCAGCUCUGGGAUAAGCCUGGGAAACCGGGUCUAAUACCGGAUAUGACUCCAUGACGCAUGUUGUGGGGUGGAAAGCCUUGUGCGGCUGAGGAUGGGCCCGCGGCCUAUCAGCUUGUUGGUGGGGUGAUGGCCUACCAAGGCGACGACGGGUAGCCGGCCUGAGAGGGCGACCGGCCACACUGGGGACUGAGAC
Molecule: ribosomal RNA, 298 nt
Filed under: uncultured bacterium
Lineage: Bacteria
Description: partial 16S ribosomal RNA
Rfam family: Bacterial small subunit ribosomal RNA
Source: RNAcentral